UGGUGACACCGAGAGCAUUGGCUG
This 24-nucleotide non-coding RNA is filed under the name Mus musculus (house mouse). The record is from RNAcentral. Lineage: Eukaryota; Metazoa; Chordata; Mammalia; Rodentia; Muridae.